UUGAAACAACCACAGGAGUAAACAGAGAAUGAGGAGGACAAAAGGGGGCUACAUUCAAGUUCCCGCAAGGGGAUCAAGGCGAGAGGAAAAGAGCAGCGACCCUUGUUUACCACCCCCGGGCUCCCCUCCUUCACUGCCGCCCACCGGAAUGCCAAGUUGGAACUACACUCCGCAGAAGCCCAUCAACAAUCCUCAAAAGCUGAAGAAACAAACCAAAACAAAGGCAGCCCUCCUCCUCCCCGGGUCGUCACCGUCCGAGCCCGAGAGGCUCUCCCAUUUCCCGGUGCAAGCCUGGCCUCCCGCCCCCACCCCCAGGACAAAGAAAAGGCACUGGACUUGAGCAGUGGUGCUUCAUCCUCUCAAUUCGAAACUGAAAUCACGCUUCAAGACUUAGCACAAGCCCCAUCUCCUCCAGGAAACCUUCCUUAACAAUCAAAGCAUUCUUCAGCCGUAAAGAAGGAAAUCUUGCCAUAUGUGACAACAUGGAUGAACAUUAGUAAGGGCAUUAGGCAAGUGAAGUAAGUCAGAGAAAAAAAAUACUGUAUGAUCUCACUUAUGUGUGGUAUCUCAAAACACCAAGCUCAUGGAAGCACAGGGUAGACUGGUGAUUGCCAGGGGCUGUGGAAUGGGGGAAAUGAGAUGAUGUUAGUUAAAAGGCACACAUUUCCAGUUAUAAGAGGAAUGAAUUCUGGGGCUCUAAUGUACAGCAUGAUGACAGUAGUUAACAAUACUGUAUUGUAUUCUUGAAAGUUUCUAACAGAGUAAAUCUUAAAUGUUCUCACUACUACUACCACCACCAUCACAAUAAAUGGUUGUUAUGUGAGGUGAAGGAUGUGUUAAAUGUGUUAAUUAACCUUACUGUGGUAAUUAUUUUGCGGUAUGUAACAAAUCAUCACAUUGUACAUCUUAAACUUAAGCAAUGCUAUCUAUCAAUUAUAGCUCAAUAAAGCUGGGGGGAAAAACAACCAACAUAUUCUGAGCAAAGAAGACAGCAAGUUCAAAGGUACAGGACAAGAGGGCACGACAGAGUGGGGAAACUCCAAGUAGUUCAAUAUGGCUAGGCAUAAAUUUGAUGGAGACAAUGGUAAGAGACAGAACUAGAAGAUUGACAUUCAUUCAUUCAUUCAUUUGACAUUUACUGAGUAUUUACAGUGUGCUAGAUACUGGGCUUAUAGAUCUGGUCCUUGUUUUCAUGGACUCAAAGAGCAAAGAGGUAGAUAAUUGAUAAACAAUCAAAAAUUGUUUUUAGCCCGCCCAGCGUGGCUCAGUGGUUGAGCGUAGGUCUACGAACCAGAAGGUCUUGGUUCAAUCCCCAGUCAGGACACAUGCUGGGGUUGCAGGCUCAAUCCCCAGUAUGGGGCAUGAAGGAGGCAGCUGAUCAAUGAUUCUCU
Molecule: long non-coding RNA, 1391 nt
Organism: Eptesicus fuscus (big brown bat)
Lineage: Eukaryota; Metazoa; Chordata; Mammalia; Chiroptera; Vespertilionidae
Exons: 3
Source: RefSeq, a predicted model, not a curated record